This 744-nucleotide long non-coding RNA is filed under the name Cavia porcellus (domestic guinea pig). RNAcentral describes it as "lncRNA (ENSCPOG00000032765.1)". Lineage: Eukaryota; Metazoa; Chordata; Mammalia; Rodentia; Caviidae. The record is from RNAcentral.
CCCUGGUCCGUGGGUCAGAGGAAAUCUUGCUAACCGAUAUAGAUAGAUCCUUGAUCAGCCUGCCGGGAAGAGGCCAGAACCCCAUCCUCUACUCUCCAUCCACCCCGCUCUGGGUUGGUGAAAGCCUGUCAUCAGGUGGCCCUUCAGGAUGCUGAGGGAGCAGAAGGAGUCCUCCCUGGAGCUGUCACUGCUGGGAGCCAGCACUGUCUGCAGCUGGAGAAAGAGGAGAGUCUGUGGGGGCUGAGAUGGAGAGAAGAAAAUCAUGCUGCCAGGCUUUGUCUUUGAUUGAUUAGUAAAAACUUGGCAAAUAUUUCUUUAUUUCAAGAGAACCUUGAACUGAAGUUAAUGAGAAAGUAAAACUCUACAGCUCUACCAGUAAGCAAACAAUACAACAUUAUUAAAAUCAUUGCCUUCUGUUUCUUUCAACAGAUCCAUAAACAGGCACUGGUUCAUUUGCAUGUCUACAUUGAAGAAGUUUGUUUGUUUGGACAGACCUUGGUAUGGUCCCCAGACUGAACUCAAACUUGCAAUAUUCCUGCCUCAGUCUCCCAAGUAGCUGAGGGUACAGGCUUGCCCCAUGGCGCAUGGUUUACACUUUUAAUAACCAUACAUUAUACUUUCCAUGAGUCUAAUUCAAAAAACUAAGCACAAGUAACUUCAGUAUGUAUCAAAUGAUGAAAGAAAGCAAUAGUAGAAAUAGGCCUUUAGUUUUAAAAUUCUUAUAAAUCUAAGAUUUAAAUUCUU